Molecule: long non-coding RNA, 844 nt
Organism: Gossypium arboreum
Lineage: Eukaryota; Viridiplantae; Streptophyta; Magnoliopsida; Malvales; Malvaceae
Exons: 2
Source: RefSeq, a predicted model, not a curated record
UAAAUUACAACAACACACAAAUUUUAGGAAAAAUUUUAAAAACAACCGAAGUUCUAAUUGGAACUAAUUGAACUGCAGCGCAAAGGGAAAGGACUUAUAUCUCAAAUGUCCCUCAAUGACCAAACAUGUGGAUCUUGAGCGUGUGCAGGUUGAGUCAUUGGGUUGCAGCUCCUUGAAUGAUGCCAUUUUGAGGCCAUUAAUAUUGGCUUAAAACGGUGACGUCUAAGAGUCCUUAUAAUCACAAAACAAACCCUAAAAAUGAAGUUCGCAGCCAUUAAAAAAAUGAAACCCCAUGUUGCUCUCUCAAACUUUCAGCCGACUCAAGCCUAAUCACUUGCCUGACUCCAUCGCAGCCAACAACAGGCGCGUUCGCCCUUGAAAACGAUUUAUAGCCUCGGAUUCCUCUUUCGCCUUCGAUUUCGACGAAGCAAAGAGGAAUCAAUGGCAGAUUCGCAAGGUUCUGUUGACGUGGGGGCGUACGGAGAAGAAACAACUCGUGUGGAGGCCGUUCAUGGGAGGCCACUCGUGGGAGCCCGUUUCUGGCUAGUUGCGGCGCUGACGUUCCAGAAGCCUCUAGGGUUUCUGGUGCCUUUCCGAUGUUGGGCUCAUCUGGGUUUUGGGUUUGGGCCAUUGGAGUCGGGUCUAGGGUUCAAUUGGAAUUUUUGUAAUCUGUGAACUCUAUUCGGCUUUUGUUUUAAUUUAUUCGGUUUAUUUAUGUUUUUUUAAUUUCUUGUUUCUUUUGGAUUUUAACGGGCCCAGGCGAAAUGGGCUUAUUACAGCAGCAAUAGUUUUUUCUAGUUCGAAAUUGUAUAUGGGUUUAAUCAACUAAUGGUUUUGCAUAGAA